GCCAUUUGUCCUGCUCGGAGAAACACCUUUGUUUUACCUAUCUAAAAUUACGUAUGGAGCAGAAACUUAGUGCAAUGCUCGAGAGAAAUUUGUCUCACAGUCAAAGGUUCAAAUUCAGCUUGGUGAAGGAUGAGAAUUACUUGAGAAGCUCUGCAACUGUUUGAAGAUGGUAGAGUGACUUAUCAUUUUUCAAUUUUGAAGAAUCGAUUUCUUUUCCUUUAACGAAGUCAAUAUUCCCAAGAUGAAGUAUGGCAGCAACUACACUGAAUAUCGCAUCCUUCACAAGGGUACCUCUGGUGGUGCAGCACAAAGCAUGUAAAAACAAUGAUAGUUUCUCUCUGGAUCUGACACCUGACAAACACGCGAUCUCUCGAGAAGAUAUGUUCGAACAGCCGCUCCAGAGAUCUUCCAAUGCUUAUCAAAUUGGAUUUCAACAAAUUUACCGAAACGACUGAUGAAGCAAAAGUAGCUGGGUCAACAAACAACAGCUUAACAUUAAAGAGGUUGAGCCGUACAAAGAGCUUCAUUGACCAAAUUAAGUCUGUGGUGCAAGUUGAUUGAUGGGCAUAGCAUUCUUGAGCUUCAAUUAAUAUCAUGACUAUGCUGGCAUCUUUUCCCUUGAUUUCUGUUACUUCUCCAUCGAUCCAGGCCACCUGUGGAUCUUCUACCCAUAUGUGUGAACCGACUAUGAUGUUUACAGGAGUUCCCUGAAAUAAACCAAAGGAAAUCAUUAGGAAAACAAAAAGAAACUGAGCAAUUCAUCGCGAUCAAAUUGAGAAAAGAUCAGCCUGAAACUUUUCAGCAACUUGUUAAGACUUAAAAGAGUACAGAAUGGAUUUUGAUCAAUAAUAGAAUCCUUCCUGAGCUUACCAUGAU
Molecule: long non-coding RNA, 876 nt
Organism: Papaver somniferum (opium poppy)
Lineage: Eukaryota; Viridiplantae; Streptophyta; Magnoliopsida; Ranunculales; Papaveraceae
Exons: 5
Source: RefSeq, a predicted model, not a curated record